This 305-nucleotide ribosomal RNA is filed under the name uncultured bacterium. RNAcentral's name for it is "bacterial SSU rRNA". It matches the Rfam family "Bacterial small subunit ribosomal RNA", at positions 29 to 325 of the family's 1533-position model. The record is from RNAcentral.
AACGAACGCUGGCGGCGCGCCUAACACAUGCAAGUCGAACGAGAAGCUGUAGCAAUACAGUUGUACAGUGGCGAACGGGUGAGGAAUACAUGGGUGACCUACCCUCGAGUGGGGAAUAACCAGCCGAAAGGUUGGCUAAUACCGCGUACGUUUCCCAGUCCGCGGAUUGGGAAGGAAAGCGAUGCCGUGGGUAUCGCGCUCAAGGUUGGGCUCAUGUCCUAUCAGCUUGUUGGGAGGUAACGGCUCACCAAGGCAACGACGGGUAGCUGGUCUGAGAGGACGAUCAGCCACACUGGCACUGCGAC